RNAcentral lists this ribosomal RNA (850 nucleotides) under Staphylococcus aureus. Its description in RNAcentral is "bacterial SSU rRNA". It matches the Rfam family "Bacterial small subunit ribosomal RNA", at positions 1 to 833 of the family's 1533-position model. The record is from RNAcentral. Lineage: Bacteria; Bacillati; Bacillota; Bacilli; Caryophanales; Staphylococcaceae.
UUUAUGGAGAGUUUGAUCCUGGCUCAGGAUGAACGCUGGCGGCGUGCCUAAUACAUGCAAGUCGAGCGAACGGACGAGAAGCUUGCUUCUCUGAUGUUAGCGGCGGACGGGUGAGUAACACGUGGAUAACCUACCUAUAAGACUGGGAUAACUUCGGGAAACCGGAGCUAAUACCGGAUAAUAUUUUGAACCGCAUGGUUCAAAAGUGAAAGACGGUCUUGCUGUCACUUAUAGAUGGAUCCGCGCUGCAUUAGCUAGUUGGUAAGGUAACGGCUUACCAAGGCAACGAUGCAUAGCCGACCUGAGAGGGUGAUCGGCCACACUGGAACUGAGACACGGUCCAGACUCCUACGGGAGGCAGCAGUAGGGAAUCUUCCGCAAUGGGCGAAAGCCUGACGGAGCAACGCCGCGUGAGUGAUGAAGGUCUUCGGAUCGUAAAACUCUGUUAUUAGGGAAGAACAUAUGUGUAAGUAACUGUGCACAUCUUGACGGUACCUAAUCAGAAAGCCACGGCUAACUACGUGCCAGCAGCCGCGGUAAUACGUAGGUGGCAAGCGUUAUCCGGAAUUAUUGGGCGUAAAGCGCGCGUAGGCGGUUUUUUAAGUCUGAUGUGAAAGCCCACGGCUCAACCGUGGAGGGUCAUUGGAAACUGGAAAACUUGAGUGCAGAAGAGGAAAGUGGAAUUCCAUGUGUAGCGGUGAAAUGCGCAGAGAUAUGGAGGAACACCAGUGGCGAAGGCGACUUUCUGGUCUGUAACUGACGCUGAUGUGCGAAAGCGUGGGGAUCAAACAGGAUUAGAUACCCUGGUAGUCCACGCCGUAAACGAUGAGUGCUAAGUGUUAGGGGGUUU